RNAcentral lists this transfer RNA (71 nucleotides) under Trichechus manatus latirostris (Florida manatee). RNAcentral's name for it is "tRNA-Gly (TCC) (tRNA-Gly-TCC-52-1)". It matches the Rfam family "tRNA". Rfam says of the family: Transfer RNA (tRNA) molecules are approximately 80 nucleotides in length. Their secondary structure includes four short double-helical elements and three loops (D, anti-codon, and T loops). Further hydrogen bonds mediate the characteristic L-shaped molecular structure. tRNAs have two regions of fundamental functional importance: the anti-codon, which is responsible for specific mRNA codon recognition, and the 3' end, to which the tRNAs corresponding amino acid is attached (by aminoacyl-tRNA synthetases). tRNAs cope with the degeneracy of the genetic code in two manners: having more than one tRNA (with a specific anti-codon) for a particular amino acid; and 'wobble' base-pairing, i.e. permitting non-standard base-pairing at the 3rd anti-codon position. Lineage: Eukaryota; Metazoa; Chordata; Mammalia; Sirenia; Trichechidae. The record is from Rfam by way of RNAcentral.
GCAGUGGUGGUUCAGUGGUAGAAUUCUUGCCUUCCAUGCAGGAGACCCAGGUUUGAUUCCUGGCCAGUGUA